GCAAGGUUAACCGAAUAGGGGAGCCGGAGGGAAACCGAGUCUUAACCGGGCGUUAAGUUGCAGGGUAUAGACCCGAAACCCGGUGAUCUAGCCAUGGGCAGGUUGAAGGUUGGGUAACACUAACUGGAGGACCGAACCGACUAAUGUUGAAAAAUUAGCGGAUGACCUGUGGCUGGGGGUGAAAGGCCAAUCAAACCGGGAGAUAGCUGGUUCUCCCCGAAAGCUAUUUAGGUAGCGCCUCGUGAAUUCAUCUCCGGGGGUAGAGCACUGUUUCGGCUAGGGGGCCAUCCCGGCUUACCAACCCGAUGCAAACUGCGAAUACCGGAGAAUGUUAUCACGGGAGACACACGGCGGGUGCUAACGUCCGUCGUGAAGAGGGAAACAACCCAGACCGCCAGCUAAGGUCCCAAAGUCAUGGUUAAGUGGGAAACGAUGUGGGAAGGCCCAGACAGCCAGGAUGUUGGCUUAGAAGCAGCCAUCAUUUAAAGAAAGCGUAAUAGCUCACUGGUCGAGUCGGCCUGCGCGGAAGAUGUAACGGGGCUAAACCAUGCACCGAAGCUGCGGCAGCGACGCUGAUGCGUUGUUGGGUAGGGGAGCGUUCUGUAAGCCUGCGAAGGUGGCCUGUGAGGGUUGCUGGAGGUAUCAGAAGUGCGAAUGCUGACAUAAGUAACGAUAAAGCGGGUGAAAAGCCCGCUCGCCGGAAGACCAAGGGUUCCUGUCCAACGUUAAUCGGGGCAGGGUGAGUCGACCCCUAAGGCGAGGCCGAAAGGCGUAGUCGAUGGGAAACGGGUUAAUAUUCCCGUACUUGGUGUUACUGCGAAGGGGGGACGGAGAAGGCUAUGUUGGCCGGGCGACGGUU
RNAcentral lists this ribosomal RNA (859 nucleotides) under Salmonella enterica. Its description in RNAcentral is "partial 23S ribosomal RNA". It matches the Rfam family "Bacterial large subunit ribosomal RNA", at positions 640 to 1503 of the family's 2925-position model. RNAcentral also lists the same sequence under 1 other name. The record is from RNAcentral. Lineage: Bacteria; Pseudomonadati; Pseudomonadota; Gammaproteobacteria; Enterobacterales; Enterobacteriaceae.